GGCCUGUUAGUCUAAUGGUAGACGUUGACAGAUUAUAAUCCAUACUAUUGCAUGUCAGAGGUUCUGGGUUCGAUUCCUGGUCAGGCCA
This is a non-coding RNA of Mycena leptocephala, 88 nucleotides long. The record is from the annotation of a GenBank genome assembly. Lineage: Eukaryota; Fungi; Basidiomycota; Agaricomycetes; Agaricales; Mycenaceae.